This 88-nucleotide transfer RNA is filed under the name Opitutia bacterium. RNAcentral's name for it is "tRNA-Ser". It matches the Rfam family "tRNA". Rfam says of the family: Transfer RNA (tRNA) molecules are approximately 80 nucleotides in length. Their secondary structure includes four short double-helical elements and three loops (D, anti-codon, and T loops). Further hydrogen bonds mediate the characteristic L-shaped molecular structure. tRNAs have two regions of fundamental functional importance: the anti-codon, which is responsible for specific mRNA codon recognition, and the 3' end, to which the tRNAs corresponding amino acid is attached (by aminoacyl-tRNA synthetases). tRNAs cope with the degeneracy of the genetic code in two manners: having more than one tRNA (with a specific anti-codon) for a particular amino acid; and 'wobble' base-pairing, i.e. permitting non-standard base-pairing at the 3rd anti-codon position. The record is from RNAcentral. Lineage: Bacteria; Pseudomonadati; Verrucomicrobiota; Opitutia.
GGAGAGGUGGCAGAGUGGUCGAAUGUGCCUGACUCGAAAUCAGGUGUGCCGUAAGGUACCGGGGGUUCGAAUCCCUCCCUCUCCGCCA